Molecule: long non-coding RNA, 258 nt
Organism: Rhodamnia argentea
Lineage: Eukaryota; Viridiplantae; Streptophyta; Magnoliopsida; Myrtales; Myrtaceae
Exons: 3
Source: RefSeq, a predicted model, not a curated record
GCUGGUAGCGGUUGCGGCACCGGUUGCAGCAGAAGAUCUUCUCCGGGAAGCCGAUGUCGCCGCACAUGCAACACACCGCCGGAUGAUCCACCAUUUCUUGAUCCCUCAGAGAGAGAGAGAGAGAGAGAGACAGAGAGAGAGAGAGAGGAAUUUGCUUUCAACGGUCAGUACGAAGAAUAAAAUAUAAAUACAUGCUCAAACUCAGGAUGUCACAAAGUGUGGUUUGGUUUCAUGCAUGAGUUGAGUUUCGUUGCAUUC